UGCGCCUCCUUCCAUAUGACGUAAAGGCCAGAAAAUCAAGGGCGACAAUCGCGAUUUUUCAUAGAGGGCGACAGUAUCGCGCCAUCGCGGCAAUUUGUUUACAUCGUGUACGUGUGAUUUUUCGAGAAAUUUAUCAUUAAAGACAAUUAAACUUGUGUCAUUUCAUCAUCAAUAAGUUAUAUAGGUAAGUUUUACAGGUGACCAUGCUAUUUUUUUCUUCUUAGAAGAUUUUAUUUUACAAGAAACGAACAUCUGAAAGUGGCAAGUGACGUUGUUAAUUUGGGAGAUAAAAAUAUGGCGGGUGUUUUCCCCUUCUGAAAAUAACUGACACAUUUGCAUCCUAUUGGCUAUUUAAAUAUAAAAUGACCAAAAAUAGUAUCUAUGAUGAUAGGAGUCCCUAAAUAUUUGCAUAAAUACCCAUCACUCCGUGUCAAAUUGUAACUGAGGCUGCGAAAAGAGAGCACACAAAUCGACGCCAUUUUUCAACAGAUUAAGGUUUCUGAGCUCACGAAAUCCUAGUAUUAUUACUUUUAAUGAUAACAAUAGGAAUAAGAAGAGCAGGAUUUCUAUAUUGAGGAUUUACAUGUAUGGGACAGAGGACUAUUUGACUUGAUUUUACUUUAAAAAAAACCUUUUUAAUUUUAACAAUAGUUCUCCUUAAAUGUUUAAAAUACUUUUUACAUAUUUUUCAUUUUAACAUUAUUUUUAUGACUUUGUAUUUAUUCAUCAUUUAAUAAACUUUUAUUUCUAAA
Long non-coding RNA from Mytilus trossulus (common blue mussel), 752 nucleotides. RefSeq lists it as uncharacterized. The transcript has 2 exons. The record is from RefSeq and is a predicted model, not a curated record. NCBI's taxonomy places the organism in Eukaryota, Metazoa, Mollusca, Bivalvia, Mytilida, Mytilidae.